Molecule: ribosomal RNA, 90 nt
Filed under: Shigella flexneri
Lineage: Bacteria; Pseudomonadati; Pseudomonadota; Gammaproteobacteria; Enterobacterales; Enterobacteriaceae
Also listed under: 1 other name
Description: partial 16S ribosomal RNA
Rfam family: Bacterial small subunit ribosomal RNA
Source: RNAcentral
UUAAAUUGGAGAGUUUGAUCAUGGCUCAGAUUGAACGCUGGCGGCAGGCCUAACACAUGCAAGUCGAACGGUAACAGGAAGCGCUUGCUG